GAUGAACGCUAGCUACAGGCUUAACACAUGCAAGUCGAGGGGAAACGACAUCGAAAGCUUGCUUUUGAUGGGCGUCGACCGGCGCACGGGUGAGUAACGCGUAUCCAACCUGCCCAUCACUUGGGAAUAACCUUGCGAAAGUAAGACUAAUACCCAAUGAUAUCCCACGAAGGCAUCGGAAUGGGAUUAAAGAUUUAUCGGUGAUGGAUGGGGAUGCGUCUGAUUAGCUUGUUGGCGGGGUAACGGCCCACCAAGGCAACGAUCAGUAGGGGUUCUGAGAGGAAGGUCCCCGACAUUGGAACUGAGACACGGUCCAAACUCCUACGGGAGGCAGCAGUGAGGAAUAUUGGUCAAUGGGCGAGAGCCUGAACCAGCCAAGUAGCGUGCAGGAAGACGGCCCUAUGGGUGGUAAACUGCUUUUAUAAGGGAAUAAAGUGGGUCACGUGUGACUUUUUGCAUGUACCUUAUGAAUAAGGACCGGCUAAUUCCGUG
RNAcentral lists this ribosomal RNA (492 nucleotides) under uncultured bacterium. RNAcentral describes it as "partial 16S ribosomal RNA". It matches the Rfam family "Bacterial small subunit ribosomal RNA", at positions 28 to 507 of the family's 1533-position model. The record is from RNAcentral.